Pangasianodon hypophthalmus (striped catfish) is the source of this 1288-nucleotide long non-coding RNA. RefSeq lists it as uncharacterized. NCBI's taxonomy places the organism in Eukaryota, Metazoa, Chordata, Actinopteri, Siluriformes, Pangasiidae. The transcript has 4 exons. The record is from RefSeq and is a predicted model, not a curated record.
GCAGGUCUGAGAUGAUGUCCUUCCUCUCCGCCUGCUCCAGGAAGGACAGCAGCUUCGCCACCGUGGCCCCGGCGCGGGUCUGCCAGUCCUCCAGCAGCUUCUGGGUGGGAUUCUCUCGCUUCUCGUAGUUUUUAAUCUCCAGAUUACGAAGUUUAUCUCCGGGAAAGAGGAAACAAUCGUGAAUUUCAUCAUCAGUGACGUAUUGGCACACAUCCAAUCACAUGCCCGAGCUGAUCCGCGUCAUCUUAACACCGGAAGUAAAAUUUCACCCUUGUCCAUUUCAGAAAUGAACAUCAUCUGCGUCAGUCAGUCUGUUGAGAAACCAGGAAACUGACAGGCGAAGUUCCCGGAUGAAAGAGCAGUCUCUGAUUUGUCCGCACCUGCGUUGAUCCAUGGGAUAUGUAGUUUUUGCAAAUGGACUACAAACAGAACCUUGCAUUUCUAGGGCCGCAGGGAGCCUGGAGCCUUUCCCAGGGGACCCGGGGCACAAGGUGGGGGACACGCUGGAUUGGGUGCCAACCCAUCACAGGGCACAAUCACGCACACACUCACACACUACAGACAAUUAGGAAAUGCCUACAGCGCAUGCCUCUGGACUGGGGAGGAAGCCAGAGUAUGCAGAGGAAACCCCCGAGGCACUGGGAGAACGUGCAAACUCCAAGCACGGGAUGGAGGCGCGAUUCAGGCCCUCAACAUUCAUGAAGUCUAAAUUAAUUAUUUUUAUUUUUAUUAUUUGUUUAUUUUUAUUUUUUAUUUUUCACACUGAUUUGUCUUGGAAAGUUACUGUUCAUGAAAUGAAUCAGCAUUUAUUCAGAUUCACUAAACCUAAGAAUUUUCACGCAUGAUGAAGCACAAAAAUGGUUUACUUUUAAUUGCAACUUUUCUACUCAACUCAUACAGAAGCCCUUCAUAAAAUACAGUGUUAUUUAACAAGUCAAGUGAAAUGUAGCCUUGAGGUCUAAACUCCAUGCAGGGAUUAAAAAAAAAAGCAUUUACUCUUUUAAUUAAAAGUAAAUCCUCCUCUGCUUCACAUUCAGCACAGGAAUAGAUACAAUCAUUAACAUGCUUCUUCUCUUCUCCUUUCUUGUAAAUAGAGACCAGAAAUAGGCUGCCACAACUUCUCACUUCUCAUUUAUGAGACAAAUCUGCCUGCAGAGUGUGUGUGUGUGUGUGUGGUAAUUCUCUGGCACUGAAUGGUGUUCUUCUGUUUCACACUUUCACAAUUUCAUCUCAAAACACACAUGCACUGUUGAAUUAAUAAUAAAAAAUACCUUAUUUCUUUCAAAUA